GUUAAUGAGGGAACUUGAGCAGAUAUAGAACAAAAGGAGGUUUCAAAGGCAGAGGAAAAAGUCAAGUUGACUACUGAAAAAAUACAUAAUUUAAAGAAAAGAGUUGGAGAAACUGAAGAAGAAGAGAAGAGAAAAGAUACCACCUUUCUAAACCAGGGUUCGUGUUUUGGAGCAGGUAAUGGUGAAGAACUCCAGGGAGGCCAUCUACCUGAAAGAGAGAUGAAACUGGGAUAUUUAUCUUUAAGAUUUUUUUUUAUUUCUUCAGAGAGAGAGAGACAGACAGACAGAGAAGAAAGAGAUACACUCUCUAACAUGGUUUUGCAACUACCUACCCUCCUACUAAAUUGGACAAGA
Tupaia belangeri chinensis (Chinese tree shrew) is the source of this 354-nucleotide long non-coding RNA. RefSeq lists it as uncharacterized. The record is from RefSeq and is a predicted model, not a curated record. The transcript has 3 exons. Lineage: Eukaryota; Metazoa; Chordata; Mammalia; Scandentia; Tupaiidae.